Molecule: ribosomal RNA, 735 nt
Filed under: Triticum aestivum (bread wheat)
Lineage: Eukaryota; Viridiplantae; Streptophyta; Magnoliopsida; Poales; Poaceae
Description: partial small subunit ribosomal RNA
Source: RNAcentral
AUGUCCGGAGCAGGAGGCAAGUGGAUGGCCUCCUCCGUCAUGGAGGGGCAUAUCCAGAAGCUGCGCAGCGCUGGAUACUUGUCCAGCGACAUCGCGCACCGGCUCCCCGACGAGGGAGAGCUCAUGCCCACCCCUAGGCCCCAUGAGAGGGCAGUAUUCCUUCCCCAUUUCCUCCGCGGACUGGGCUUCCCACUUCAUCCCUUUGUCCGGGGGCUCAUGUUCUACUAUGGCCUAGAUUUCCACGAUCUGGCCCCGAAUUUUAUCCUCAACAUCUCGGCGUUUAUCGUCGUGUGCGAGGCCUUCCUCUGCAUACAACCCCACUUCGGCUUGUGGCUCAAGACCUUCAGUGUCAAGCCGAAGGUUGUGAAGGGCAGCCAAGCGGAGUGCGGAGGCGCCAUGGUGGGCAGGAUGUCCCACGUUACGUGGCUGGAGGGCACCUUUAUGGAAACCAUCAAGGGGUGGAAAUCGGGGGGGUUCUACAUCACCGAGCCGCGUGAUCCCGAAUGGGCAGCGGCCCCCGAAUUCAGAUCCGGCAUCCCCACACGGCUCACCUCCUGGAAAGAGAGCAGCCGGAUUUGGGGCGAUUCAGAGGAGCUGACCGGACUCCAAGCCUGCGUCCAAAAGCUGGUGGACAAGAAGCUCAAGCUUGUCAACGUAGUCCAGGUCAUGCUCAUCCGCCAGAUUCUCCCGUGCCAACGACGGGGCUUCAAUAUGUGGGUCGCCGUGGUGGUCUAG